UACAGAGGUCUCAAGCGUUGUUCGGAUUCAUUGGGCGUAAAGGGUGCGUAGGCGGCGCGGUAAGUCGGGUGUGAAAUCUCGGAGCUUAACUCCGAAACUGCAUUCGAUACUGCCGUGCUUGAGGACUGGAGAGGAGACUGGAAUUUACGGUGUAGCGGUGAAAUGCGUAGAUAUCGUAAGGAACACCGGUGGCGAAGGCGGCAUCCUGGACCAAUACUGACGCUGAGGAGCGAAAGCCAGGGGAGCAAACGGG
RNAcentral lists this ribosomal RNA (253 nucleotides) under uncultured bacterium. Its description in RNAcentral is "partial 16S ribosomal RNA". It matches the Rfam family "Bacterial small subunit ribosomal RNA", at positions 524 to 776 of the family's 1533-position model. The record is from RNAcentral.